GAGGAAAAAGAAACUUUUAAAUGGGGGUAUUUUGGUCAAAAAUACAGCUUUCCGACAAAGCUGAAAACAGCGUUUUCGGAAAGCUCCAAAAUUGAGCUUCUGCCAAAAAGCUGUUUUCAGCUUCCCGCAAAAGCUGAAACAGCUUCUUGGAAAUUUUACCAAACACACUUUUUUUCCCUAAAAGUACUUUUGGAGGGCCAGAAAGUGCUUUUUGG
Molecule: long non-coding RNA, 215 nt
Filed under: Phoenix dactylifera (date palm)
Lineage: Eukaryota; Viridiplantae; Streptophyta; Magnoliopsida; Arecales; Arecaceae
Description: long non-coding RNA (PDAC_LNC000794)
Source: RNAcentral